This is a long non-coding RNA of Branchiostoma floridae (Florida lancelet), 252 nucleotides long. RefSeq lists it as uncharacterized. NCBI's taxonomy places the organism in Eukaryota, Metazoa, Chordata, Leptocardii, Amphioxiformes, Branchiostomatidae. The transcript has 2 exons. The record is from RefSeq and is a predicted model, not a curated record.
CACUCAGCUAAAUUAUUAACACUUUCCGAAUAUGCUCAGAUUUCUUCAUACAUUCUAGUGUGUACAGGUUCCACUUCUCGCUUCUUAAAACAGUUGUAAACAUAAGGACACAUGGCAAAUCUACCGUAAGUAGAAAGGUCAGUGACCGAACCAUUCGCCCAUUACAUACUCCACUGCCCUAAUUAUAUGAACCACAGGUUAUAACUCCUUGGCAAACUUUCCCGGCUUAUAGGACACUCAGUUAACUUAUUA